RNAcentral lists this long non-coding RNA (444 nucleotides) under Equus asinus (donkey). Its description in RNAcentral is "lncRNA (ENSEASG00005035725.1)". The record is from RNAcentral. Lineage: Eukaryota; Metazoa; Chordata; Mammalia; Perissodactyla; Equidae.
CCAGGAAGUCAGGAGGAUGAGCUGGUGCUAUUGUCAGGAAAAAGAUAACAGAACACUAUUCCCCAUCCUUGAGAACAUGACAGCAGAAAAGAUUGGUUUCUAAGAAGAGUUUUCCUUGAAGCUCUGGCUCCAUAACUUACGACCAUUUCAGGACACUUGCUCAUUCCUGGACUUUGGCUGAAGAAGCAGCCCCUGUCUAGGUCAUUGUUAGUCUUCUGGCAGAGGAAAUAGAAGGCAAUAGAAGACGUAUGUGAUGGCUCUUACAGCUUCUAUUAGAAAUGGAAUGUAUCACUUUCUUUCACAUUUCUCUGGCCAAAGUAAGUUAUGUGGCAAGCCUGCCAGAGGUGUGAGCAGUGCCAUGCUUCUGCAGGGAGGGCGUUUGGAGUAAGAGGACCCAGGGGGAGGGUCUUCUGUUUUUUGGUUUUGGUCGCAUGAAUCCUUAGC